UACGUAGGGUGCGAGCGUUGUCCGGAAUUAUUGGGCGUAAAGGGCUCGUAGGCGGUCUGUUGCGUCGGGAGUGAAAACUCAGGGCUUAACCCUGAGCCUGCUUCCGAUACGGGCAGACUAGAGGUAUGCAGGGGAGAACGGAAUUCCUGGUGUAGCGGUGAAAUGCGCAGAUAUCAGGAGAAACACCGGUGGCGAAGGCGGUUCUCUGGGCAUUACCUGACGCUGAGGAGCGAAAGUGUGGGGAGCGAACAGG
RNAcentral lists this ribosomal RNA (253 nucleotides) under uncultured bacterium. RNAcentral's name for it is "partial 16S ribosomal RNA". It matches the Rfam family "Bacterial small subunit ribosomal RNA", at positions 524 to 776 of the family's 1533-position model. The record is from RNAcentral.